Molecule: long non-coding RNA, 2800 nt
Filed under: Salmo salar (Atlantic salmon)
Lineage: Eukaryota; Metazoa; Chordata; Actinopteri; Salmoniformes; Salmonidae
Description: lncRNA (ENSSSAG00000104316.1)
Source: RNAcentral
CGUGUGAAUGUUUUUACAGAAUUUUGUGACACAAGCUCACAUGAAUAAUCAAUUCCUGUCAUUAUUAUUUUAUAAUUUUGAUAUGUGGAACAUGAAUAUAUGCCUGAGCCUAAAGGACAUUCCCUGGACUCUUUAUUCCAUCAACAUUAGUGCCUGGAACUCACUUCCAUAUGCAGCCUCUCCUCCUGUGUAGCUAACAAUGUCACCUCCAUGGGUAUCUCAGUGAGUAGGUAAACAACCAAAUCUAAAUGCUAUCUUAGCCUUUGAUGAGUCACAGACCCCUUGCAGUGUGUCAUUUGGGGUGGGGGGCAUGUCCUACGAAAAAUCUCAAAUGGUAUUUUAUUAGUUCAUUACCUUUAACCAGGCCAGGUAUGGGGGCAAGGGGGCUUGAUGAAGGGUUGUUGGGCCAAGCCAGGCCAGGGUUGGGCUCUUGUGGGGGCUAAUGCCCCUCAGUGGUGGAGGGGGACCAGGUCUUUGUCCCAGUGGAGGGGAUUACACCGGCGGGGCGGCCCUAACAAUGUCUCCCCUCCUGGGAGGGCUGGGCAAACCUGCUCCCCCCAAUGACGGGUGUGGUCAACUGCUCACUGACUCAGUUAAACACAGUGAGAGAGAGGAGGAGAAGAGAGGGAUAGGAGGAGGAGAUGAAUGGAGGGGAGAGAGAAGAAUGAGCAGCAUGGAGUGAUACUCAACAAGGGUAACAGGGUAACAGAGAAGGAGAAAGUGGAGAGGAGAGGAUGGAGGUUGGAGAAGAAGAGGGUGGAGGUUGGAGGAGGAGAGGGUGGAGGUUGGAGGAGGAGAGGAUGGAGGUUGGAGGGGGAACGAGUUAAGGUUGGAGGAGGAGAGGAUGGAGGUAGGAGGAGGAGAGGAUGGAGGUAGGAGGAGGAGAGGAUGGAGGUUGGAGGGAGAGCGAGUUAAGGUUGGAGGAGGAGAGGAUGGGGUAGGAGGAGGAGAGGAUGGAGGUUGGAGGAGGAGAGGAUGGAGGUUGGAGGAGGAGAGGAUUAAGGUAGGAGGAGGAGAGGAUGGAGGUAGGAGGGAGAGCGAGUUAAGGUUGGAGGAGGAGAGGAUGGAAGUUGGAGGAGGAGAGGAUGGAGGUUGGAGGAGGAGAGGAUGGAGGUUGGAGGAGGAGAGGAUGGAGGUUGGAGGGAGAGCGAGUUAAGGUUGGAGGAGGAGAGGAUGGAGGUUGGAGGAGGAGAGGAUGGAAGUUGGAGGAGGAGAGGAUGGAGGUUGGAGGAGGAGAGGGUGGAGGUUGGAGGAGGAGAGGAUGGAGGUUGGAGGAGGAGAGGUUGGCGGGAGGAGGAGGAGAGGAUGGAGGUUGGAGGAGGAGAGGAUGGAGGUUGGAGGUUGGAGGAGGAGAGGAUGGAGGUUGGAGGAGGAGAGGAUGGAGGUUGGAGGAGGAGAGGAUGGAGGUUGGAGGGAGAGCGAGUUAAGGUUGGAGGAGGAGAGGAUGGCGGUAGGAGGAGGAGAGGAUGGAGGUUGGAGGAGGAGAGGAUGGAGGUUGGAGGAGGAGAGGAUGGAGGUUGGAGGAGGAGAGGAUGGAGGUUGGAGGGAGAGCGAGUUAAGGUUGGAGGAGGAGAGGAUGGCGGUAGGAGGAGGAGAGGAUGGAGGUUGGAGGAGGAGAGGAUGGAGGUAGGAGGAGGAGAGGAUGGAGGUUGGAGGAGGAGAGGAUGGAGGUAGGAGGAGGAGAGGAUGGAGGUUCGAGGAGGAGAGGAUGGAAGUAGGAGGAGGAGAGGAUGGAGAUAGGAGGAGGAGAGGAUGGAGGUAGGAGGGGGAGAGGGUGGAGGUUGGAGGAGGAGAGGAUGGAAGUAGGAGGAGGAGAGGAUGGAGGUAGGAGGAGGAGAGGAUGGAGGUAGGAGGAGGAGAGGGUGGAGGUAGGAGGGGGAGAGGGUGGAGGUUGGAGGAGGAGAGUAUUAAGGUAGGAGGAGGAGAGGAUGGAGGUAGGAGGAAGAGAGGGUGAAAGGAUCAGGUGUGGUAGGAGGAGGAGAGGGUGAAAGGAUCAGGUGUGGUAGGAGGAGGAGAGGGUGAAAGGAUCAGGUGUGGUAGGAGGAGGAGAGGAUGAAAGGAUCAGGUGUGGUAGGAGGAGGAGAGGAUGAAAGGAUCAGGUGUGGUAGGAGGAGGAGAGGAUGAAAGGAUCAGGUGUGGUAGUAGGAGGAGAGGAUGAAAGGAUCAGGUGUGGUAGGAGGGAAAGGAGACCAGUGGCUCAAAGAACAAGAAGAUAAAUAAAGGAGUGAAGGAGAAGAGCGGAAUGGUGAGCUAGGUGAGGAUGACUCUGCAGGUACUGGAUGUAAAAUGUGUAAGUCUGAGGCCUUUCCUUAUGUACUUCAAUAUCAAAGUCCUCAUUAUGCCCACGCACACCGCCCAUUCAAAUCCAAUGACAAAUGCACCAGAUAAUUCCAUUAGGGGGGACUUCUAUAGAGGAUAUUUAGGGGACAGUAGAGAAAUCCAGGUAACAUAGCUCAACGCGGGCAAAGACAGAUAUGGCUCCGUAACACUUAUCAGGGAUUUGGCAGCCCUGUUGAUUGAACAUGCCAAGUCCCAUUUGUCGGAGGGGUGUGCACGUUUGUAUCGACACGCUGUAACCUUGUGGCUCCACAGAAGGAGACAUCAGAUGUGCUGCUAGCGGGCACACAGGCAGACAGGCAGGCAAGCAGGAGAGGGUGGGUGGGUUGGUAGGCUCCCCUCCUCUUCCCUUCUCUCUACUUCUCUCUCUCCUACUCUCUUCUCCUCUUCCGGCUGCAGUGGACAGGAGCCCCCCUCCUCCAUCCCCAGUGGACGGGAGCCCCCCUCCUCCCUCCAUCCCCAG